This 1374-nucleotide ribosomal RNA is filed under the name uncultured Klebsiella sp. RNAcentral's name for it is "bacterial SSU rRNA". It matches the Rfam family "Bacterial small subunit ribosomal RNA", at positions 57 to 1420 of the family's 1533-position model. Lineage: Bacteria; Pseudomonadati; Pseudomonadota; Gammaproteobacteria; Enterobacterales; Enterobacteriaceae. The record is from RNAcentral.
GCAGUCGAGCGGUAGCACAGAGAGCUUGCUCUCGGGUGACGAGCGGCGGACGGCCUUAUUAAUGUCUGGGAAACUGCCUGAUGGAGGGGGAUAACUACUGGAAACGGUAGCUAAUACCGCAUAACGUCGCAAGACCAAAGUGGGGGACCUUCGGGCCUCAUGCCAUCAGAUGUGCCCAGAUGGGAUUAGCUAGUAGGUGGGGUAACGGCUCACCUAGGCGACGAUCCCUAGCUGGUCUGAGAGGAUGACCAGCCACACUGGAACUGAGACACGGUCCAGACUCCUACGGGAGGCAGCAGUGGGGAAUAUUGCACAAUGGGCGCAAGCCUGAUGCAGCCAUGCCGCGUGUGUGAAGAAGGCCUUCGGGUUGUAAAGCACUUUCAGCGGGGAGGAAGGCGAUAAGGUUAAUAACCUCAUCGAUUGACGUUACCCGCAGAAGAAGCACCGGCUAACUCCGUGCCAGCAGCCGCGGUAAUACGGAGGGUGCAAGCGUUAAUCGGAAUUACUGGGCGUAAAGCGCACGCAGGCGGUCUGUCAAGUCGGAUGUGAAAUCCCCGGGCUCAACCUGGGAACUGCAUUCGAAACUGGCAGGCUAGAGUCUUGUAGAGGGGGGUAGAAUUCCAGGUGUAGCGGUGAAAAUGCGUAGAGAUCUGGAGGAAUACCGGUGGCGAAGGCGGCCCCCUGGACAAAGACUGACGCUCAGGUGCGAAAGCGUGGGGAGCAAACAGGAUUAGAUACCCUGGUAGUCCACGCUGUAAACGAUGUCGAUUUGGAAGGUUGUGCCCUUGAGGCGUGGCUUCCGGAGCUAACGCGUUUAAAUCGACCGCCUGGGGAGUACGGCCGCAAGGUUAAAACUCAAAUGAAUUGACGGGGGCCCGCACAAGCGGUGGAGCAUGUGGUUUAAUUCGAUGCAACGCGAAGAACCUUACCUGGUCUUGACAUCCACAGAACUUUCCAGAGAUGGAUUGGUGCCUUCGGGAACUGUGAGACAGGUGCUGCAUGGCUGUCGUCAGCUCGUGUUGUGAAAUGUUGGGUUAAGUCCCGCAACGAGCGCAACCCUUAUCCUUUGUUGCCAGCGGUCCGGCCGGGAACUCAAAGGAGACUGCCAGUGAUAAACUGGAGGAAGGUGGGGAUGACGUCAAGUCAUCAUGGCCCUUACGACCAGGGCUACACACGUGCUACAAUGGCAUAUACAAAGAGAAGCGACCUCGCGAGAGCAAGCGGACCUCAUAAAGUAUGUCGUAGUCCGGAUUGGAGUCUGCAACUCGACUCCAUGAAGUCGGAAUCGCUAGUAAUCGUAGAUCAGAAUGCUACGGUGAAUACGUUCCCGGGCCUUGUACACACCGCCCGUCACACCAUGGGAGUGGGUUGCAA